Carassius auratus (goldfish) is the source of this 1169-nucleotide long non-coding RNA. RefSeq lists it as uncharacterized. The record is from RefSeq and is a predicted model, not a curated record. The transcript has 3 exons. NCBI's taxonomy places the organism in Eukaryota, Metazoa, Chordata, Actinopteri, Cypriniformes, Cyprinidae.
AAUAAAUGUGUGAUAAAUGUGUAAAUGUGAUCCAUACAGGUGCAAAGAAAAGCAGCUGAAGUGGAGAAAUGUUUGAUGCUUCAAGACUCUGAAGCUGAUUUUAUUAGGUCCACCCAGUGGCUUUUGACUAUUUGAGGGUAAGAUGGUUGUGAAUUCAUACCUCAACUUUGUAGCUGGAUUUACAGUCUGGCGUCCCGGGAGCAGGCAUCUUUUGCACAGAUCUAUCUAUCAAAAUACUUCAAACUUUUUCAAGCCAACUUCAAAGUUGAUCUAGUUUAGAUUAGUCUUUUUUUAUUUUAUCAGAACAGAAGCACUUCUCUUAUGGAGGCCACACGAGAAAUAAAGAUGACAAUUGAGGUGUUGAAGGCUUUCAAGAUCACCCCAGGGAAGUCAAUGGAGAAAGCAGCGGAAGCUGUUAAAGUAGGAGAAUUCAAACAAGUGCCCUUACGUUCAAGCAAGGAAAAUGUAAAUAGAUUCCUAUCGCCUUCAAGUCAGGAGCCUCUCUGAGGUACUUUUCAUUGACAUUAAUGGCCCCCCUCUCAAGAUGUUUGACGCUUACCCGUAUAUUCAGUCUUGGCUUAGGGAGAAGAGCUUUGACACAAUUCGAACACUGUAUAAGUCCUAGUAUUAACGUUAUGCUGUAUUAAUAAAAUAAGGGAUAAAUGAUGAGUUAAAUCCCGUUUAAAAACCUGCUAUCAGAUGCUUCAUUAGUGGCUGGGUUUCUCGACAACGAUUGAUCUGAGAGUUUAAGAGCAUUUUCUGAGUCAUUUUACGAUCUUUCGUUAUUGAUUCACGUGUGUUUCCCAGAAAUGCACUUAACACAAUCUUAGGUAUCUGUGCUUUAAGAGCUGCUUAGAGUCGCUGUCCGUUUGUCAAGUGCUGAAAUCUCAUCUUAUAGAGUGACUCGUGAUUGUAGCACACGCUCGUUUACUGAAAUGUUCAUCUAAUGCUGUGUUCAGACUCUGUCAGCAGAUUGUCAUUUGACUGACAGCUUCUGAUCAAUGUGGAAGCAGCCAAAUAUCUCCAAAUGAAAGAAAACUCGGGUUUAUCUUUGCAACAAUACCCUUCACAAGGUGUUCAGAUGAAGAAAAAAAGAGGAUAAAACUCCAGAAGAAGGACACAGAUUCAGUUCACAUUAAGAGGAGCAUCCAGCAGGACACACAGAAGAU